This 253-nucleotide ribosomal RNA is filed under the name uncultured bacterium. Its description in RNAcentral is "partial 16S ribosomal RNA". It matches the Rfam family "Bacterial small subunit ribosomal RNA", at positions 524 to 776 of the family's 1533-position model. The record is from RNAcentral.
UACGAAGGGUGCAAUCGUUAAUCGGAAUUACUGGGCGUAAAGCGCGCGUAGGUGGUUCAGUAAGUUGGAAGUGAAAUCCCCGGGCUCAACCUGGGAACUGCUUUCAAAACUGCUGAGCUAGAGUACGGUAGAGGGUGGUGGAAUUUCCUGUGUAGCGGUGAAAUGCGUAGAUAUAGGAAGGAACACCAGUGGCGAAGGCGACCACCUGGACUGAUACUGACACUGAGGUGCGAAAGCGUGGGGAGCAAACAGG